Molecule: ribosomal RNA, 422 nt
Filed under: uncultured bacterium
Lineage: Bacteria
Description: bacterial SSU rRNA
Rfam family: Bacterial small subunit ribosomal RNA
Source: RNAcentral
UAAGGAAUAUUGGACAAUGCCCGCAAGGGUGAUCCAGCCAUGCCGCGUGCAGGAAGACGGCCCUAUGGGUUGUAAACUGCUUUUAUACCGGAGAAAACCUCCCCUCGUGAGGGGAGCUGAUAGUAUGGUAAGAAUAAGCAUCGGCUAACUUCGUGCCAGCAGCCGCGGUAAGACGAAGGAUGCAAGCGUUAUCCGGAUUCAUUGGGUUUAAAGGGAGCGUAGGCGGCCUUAUAAGUCAGUGGUGAAAUCUUUGGGCUUAACCCAAAAAUUGCCAUUGAUACUGUAGGGCUUGAGUACAGUUGCUGUGGGCGGAAUAUGACAUGUAGUGGUGAAAUACAUAGAGAUGUCAUAGAACACCGAUUGCGAAGGCAGCUCACAAAACUGUAACUGACGCUGAGGCUCGAAAGUGCGGGGAUCAAACA